Molecule: ribosomal RNA, 465 nt
Filed under: uncultured bacterium
Lineage: Bacteria
Description: partial 16S ribosomal RNA
Rfam family: Bacterial small subunit ribosomal RNA
Source: RNAcentral
GACGAACGCUGGCGGCGUGCUUAACACAUGCAAGUCGAACGGAAAGGCCCCUUCGGGGGUACUCGAGUGGCGAACAGGUGAGUAACACGUGCGUAACCUGCCCUUGACUUCGGGAUUACUUCAGGAAACUGGGGCUAAUACCGGAUAGGAAUACUUGCUGCAUGGUGGGGGUUGGAAAGCUUCGGCGGUUUUGGGUGGACUCGCGGCUUAUCAGCUUGUUGGUGUGGUAGUGGCUUACCAAGGCUUUGACGGGUAGCCGGCCUGCGUGGGCGACCGGCCACAUUGGGACUGAGAGACGGCCCAGACACCUACGGGAGGCAGCAGUGGGGAAUAUUGCACGAUGGGCGGAAGCCGGAUGCAGCAACGCCGCGGGCGGGAUGACGGUCUUCUGGUUGUAAACCGCUUUCAGCAGGGGCGAAGCUUGUGGUGACGGUACCUGCAGAAGAAGCACCGGCUAACUACGUG